Molecule: ribosomal RNA, 253 nt
Filed under: uncultured bacterium
Lineage: Bacteria
Description: partial 16S ribosomal RNA
Rfam family: Bacterial small subunit ribosomal RNA
Source: RNAcentral
UACGUAGGGUGCAAGCGUUGUCCGGAAUCAUUGGGCGUAAAGAGCGUGUAGGCGGCCCGGUAAGUCCGCUGUGAAAGUCCAGGGCUCAACCCUGGGAUGCCGGUGGAUACUGUCGGGCUCGAGUCCGGAAGAGGAGUGUGGAAUUCCUGGUGUAGCGGUGAAAUGCGCAGAUAUCAGGAGGAACACCGGUGGCGAAGGCGGGUCUCUGGGCAGUAACUGACGCUGAGGAGCGAAAGCGUGGGGAGCGAACAGG